GAGAGACGAUCAACAAGUGACACAAGAGAUCACUUACAUACAGAUAAUGCUUCUACUUUGACACAGAAGGAGCAGAGCAAUUUCUCGGGUCCUCACAGAAGUCUUCAGAGUUAGUUUUUUUCCCAUAUGAUGCCAAAGAGUUAUACUCAUGAAUUAAUUAGCAGAAGGAGCAGAGCAACUUCUUGGGUCCUCAAAAGAAUC
RNAcentral lists this unclassified non-coding RNA (201 nucleotides) under Hevea brasiliensis (rubber tree). The record is from RNAcentral. Lineage: Eukaryota; Viridiplantae; Streptophyta; Magnoliopsida; Malpighiales; Euphorbiaceae.